Molecule: ribosomal RNA, 399 nt
Filed under: uncultured bacterium
Lineage: Bacteria
Description: bacterial SSU rRNA
Rfam family: Bacterial small subunit ribosomal RNA
Source: RNAcentral
AAUCAACGCUGGCGGCGUGCCUCAGACAUGCAAGUCGAACGAGAAAGUUUCCUUCGGGAGACGAGUACAGUGGCGUCCGGGUGAGUAACACGUGGGUAAUUUACCUUUGGGUGGGAAUAGCAGCCGGAAACGGCUAUUAAUACCGCAUAAUGCAGCGGCUCGACAUCGAGACAGUUGUUAAAGCGGGGAGUCUGACAAGGACCUCGCGCCUAAAGAGAAGCCUGCGUCAGAUAGCUAGUUGGUAGGGUAAUGGCCUACCAAGGCUGUGAUCUGUAGCCGGCCUGAGAGGGCGGUCGGCCACACUGACACUGACACACGGGUCAGACUCCUACGGGAGGCAGCAGUCGGGAAUUUUGGGCAAUGGGCGCAAGCCUGACCCAGCAACGCCGCGUGAAGGAU